This 207-nucleotide long non-coding RNA is filed under the name Nicotiana benthamiana. RNAcentral's name for it is "long non-coding RNA (NBEN_LNC018434)". The record is from RNAcentral. Lineage: Eukaryota; Viridiplantae; Streptophyta; Magnoliopsida; Solanales; Solanaceae.
CCCUAUAUCAAAAUCUCACCUACCACUCGAAAAUCGUCAAAAUUCCCAUUUCGCCAAUUCAAGCUCAAAUCUACUUUGAACUUCCAAAAUACAUUCCGAUCACGCUCCUAAGUCCCAAAUUACCUCCCGAAGCUAUCCAAAGCACCGGAACUCACAUCCAAGCCCUCUAACACAUAAGUCAACAUUCGGUUGACUUUUUCAACUUAG